Non-coding RNA from Rattus norvegicus (Norway rat), 10122 nucleotides. Lineage: Eukaryota; Metazoa; Chordata; Mammalia; Rodentia; Muridae. The record is from RefSeq and is a predicted model, not a curated record.
GCUAUCAAACUCUGUUUCAGAAGACACUUGUCUUUAGUAGAAAAGCCACAUUAUCUUGAAUGUGUUGCUUAUGGAAAUGAGACGCCAUUAGGUUCAAAAGGUAGGCAGAUAGUGUCUGCUACAUCAACACUACAUAGGAGUCUGUAAACCCACUGUGUGACUUGACUUGUCCAUCCACACAUUCAGCAUUACUGACAUCAACAACUGCCUAUCCCUGCUAUGCAUGCUAUAACACUAAUGAGAAAAUGACAUUUAUAAAGAAUGCUGUACCUCUUGGGGAAAAAAAAAUCUAUUUUCAUUUCUUAACAUCUAACGUCGUCAGUCAAGGCCCUAUCAAAACUGAGAAGGCCUGAAAUGCUCAGUCCCAGGAAGCACUACAGAGAAAGAGUACCUGUAGUCGUGAUUAUUAAUUAAUAAAUCCCGACGUGGGGUUUGUUACCUGCCUCAAUAGUUUGUGUCCCCAAAUGAAAGACACACACACACAGCACAGCCUUUAUAUUUUAAUCUGCCUUAAACAGCACAAUAGCUAGGCCACUGCCUAACCUGCAUGCUGUUAAUCCAGAGUUAUUACUUAUUAAUCCUAUGUUCCAUUUUGACUGUUCCUGACACAGUUGAGCAGCCCUCUGAGCUGCGCUCUCCUGGCCCAUUUACAUGGUGGCCCUGCCUCUCUGUCCUGCACUCUCCUCAGGCAUGGCAACUCUCCUCUUCCUUUCUCCAGCCACUUUCCUCUCUUCCUCUUGGUCUCAAGACCUGGGAAUCCUAAAAAUCCUGCCUUGUCUGCCUUCUCCCAUUGGCCGUUGCCUUCUUUAUUUACUAAUCAGAACCAACUGGGGGCAGGUUCUCAGAAGCUAUGUGCAGACCCUCUCAUAUAAACAGUUUUUAGGGGGAACGUAAUUAGCAUUAGUAAUAGAAGCAGCUGCAGAUAGCAUCAGAUAAUCGACGGGUGCUUCAAGGUAAAGGCACCAUAGUGAUGUUCUUCAGAGGAUGGUGGGAAGGAAGAACACAGACACAGGAGGUAAGAUACCUUCUCUUGGAUCACUUUGGGUUGAAUGUGGCCAUCAACCACUGCACAGUAGGUAGUGUCAAAGGAGAAAAAAGAGCUCUAAAGCUCUUUUUGGGUUAGCAGGGGCAAUGUCAUGCUUUCUGAUACUUUCCUUCCAUACGCUCAUUCCUAACAUUUGUGGGGUUCUGGAUAAGUCCGUCACAUUUCCACACAGGCCUUGAUGACUUAAAAGAUUCCAUGUUAAAAAUGAAGAUGUCUCUGUGGCCAGUCUGUGUUUCCUCCGGUGCUUUGUAGACCAGUCCUCGGGGAUCCCUGCACUGAUCCCUACGUCAUAGGGACUUAGAUGGUCUGAGGUAGUGUGUGGGAGAGAGCCUGGCUUGAAUGGAGUGCCCAGGCAGGCUUAGUAGGCAGUGUCUCUUUUGGUGCACCUCACUUUUCUGGAACUUUCUAGCCAUUCCUAAGUCGAGAGAAAGGAGAACAUGCAGGCAUCACCUCAGGUGCUUUACCAGAGACAGGCUUUCUAGAACAGGGGAGGCCGUUCCCUAGGUUCCUUCAUCCUGUGCUGGCAGGCCACAUUCUUAGGUUUACAAACUAAGUCCUUGCUUGUCAAGAGAUCAAAAAGAAGUCUGUUUGUCUGGGUGUUUAUAAAAAGCAAAGGUCUCUGGGCUGAGGAAGUGGUGGCCCAGUGUUUCGUCCACACCUCCAAUGGGAGCAGCACACCUUGGGUUCAGACUCAAAAAAACCUCUUGCUCUUGAAACAACCAUGCUGUACAGCUGCGUGUAAGGGUUCAAACUAUAAGCCAAGCUACAAUUUUGCUGGGCGACUUUGUAUAACUGUCUUAUUCACUACAUCUCCUUAUGACAAGCUAGGGAUGGUCUGAGUUCUUGCAUUUAAGGGGCUUAGAGUUAGGAUUAAAUUGAUACUUCAGGGAAGACAAACACUAUUGCUUGGCUAACCCAACAGCUAGUCUUAAUCGCCAUAUUGCCUGUCUUCCCAAAGAGGAUAAAAGCUGCCUUUUGCAUUCCUAGUCUCCUGGCCUGCUAAUGGCAAUCAAUGUAUCCCCGUGCUGGUCAAUGAAAUAGAUGGAACAGAGGCUAAAGGACUGCUAGGAAAUCCUCUGCCUCCUUAUAAAAGGAACAAGCAAGAAGGGGCAAUUUUCUUGGCUACUAUUAGUUUUUCUUUGUUCUUGUCCCUAAUGAAGACAGUAUCUGGCCCAGUAGAAGACAUCUUGUGAAAGUUGAAGAUUAAUGUGAACCCACUAAGAGUUAUAUAAGUGAAGAGGAGAGGUUUUCUCCUUAACGAUAUUACUGGACUGCCAAGCCAUGCCUCAGAUGACUGUCUCUAGACUUCCUGCUGGAGAAAGACAUACAGACUGAGAAUUGGGGCACUGUUGGUCAGCGUCCAUUAUGUCUACUAGAACCAGUUGGUCAAUUAAAUAAUGUUUUUCCACAGUACCGGGCAGCAAGUAAGAGCUCAACAAGCAUCAAGCUAUUGUGCCGACAUCGGUUACUAGAACCUGGGUCCAAAUGAACUCAAGUCCUUUAAUCCUGUGGUGGUUUUUAAGAACUGCUUUGUAAGGGGCUAACCCAGGGCACUAACUAUUCCCUGUGGUCUCAGCUGUGAGCUGAGGGGAUGUAUGUCCCAUACCCUUCAACAAAGCAAUGAGUGGUUGUACACCCACGUGGCCUAGAGGUGAUCUCUGGGCAGAAGCCUGAUGAUGUACAAGCUGUCCCCAUAUAUCCAAAAUACACAUUGGAAACAGAGACAGAAAGAAGAAAGGAAGAAUGUGGAGAAAAAGCAAGACAAGAAAAACUUUAAAGUGAGUUGUGCCCUUUUGACCUUAUCAAAAUAUUUGGAAACUUUAGAGGCGCUCUUCAAAGAGUCUUGAUGCAUCUAUCAGGCCAGGAAAUAGCACUCGGCGUUAGCCUGGGGCCCACACCUUGUUAUUUUUAGGCUGCAUGGCCUGACUUUAUCAAUGCAAGGAGGGGCAAACUAGAACACACUCAUCGGAAUGGCAUUUCUGUUCUUUUGUUGCCGUAGUGACCCAAUGCCUGACAAGACACAAUGUGAGAGGGGAACUGUUUGGUUUGGCUCACCGUGAGGGGACAUAGUUCAUCGCUGCAGGCAAGUUUUUGGCUCCUGGUAAAUUAUAUGAGAUGGCCUGUGGUGUUGCAUUCAGACAGAGGUGGGCACAAUUUACAUACUGGUUCUGAGCCUCAGAAACAUUAAUUUCGACAUUAGGCAAAGCUUUUUUCUUCUACAGCCUCAGUCUUGCCAGCUGUAAGAUGGGACAACAAUAGUUCCUCCUUCCCAGGAUUGUGCUGAGGAUGACUCAUUGUUGGCAAUGGUGGUCUAUCAUGGGCCAAGUAUCUGUGAGCAUCUUUGCUGACUGUGUCCCACUGUCUUCUGAAACUGAGCCAUUUCUGUAGCUACUCACAUAGCCAACAAGCCUGUCACAAUGACAUAAGGAGACUAAUACACUACUAUUAACUCUGCAGGGGAAGGAAGCUGCAUUGUUCAUAGCUUGCUACUGAAGAAUCAUCCUGCCUCUAUCUUAGUCUUAAAAAGUCACACUUCAAUAAAGACAAACCAGGUUUAAUCCUGUGUAUGAUUAAGCCUCUGUUUCUUAAAGCUUGGGAUAUGCCCUCCCUGUAACCUUAACUACAAAUAAUUCUGUACUGCGAGUUCCAAUAAUGGCAAUCAUGUCUUUGUUUUAAGAGUUGUUUAUAACCAACCCUACCUUGAUUCAAAACCCUUCCUUGUUAUGCCCAUCUUGCAGCCAUAUCUUUGUUUCAGGAGAGACUGACAUGUGAUGCUUAUGUUCUGUUCUCAUAACCCUGCUUAUUUUGCCUGCCAAAUUCCCCAUUUGGAAAUUUCUUACCCCUGUCUUCCUCACAUCCAAUGAUGACCUCUUGAACCCUGCCUUAGGGGAAGCAGCUCAUAUACCUGAAUAAAAAAAGCUUAUUUUAAUUCAUUGCUUGCUUUUAUUUGGCUGUGAUGAUUUGGGUGCAUGGUCUUCCUCUUCCUAUCUUUGAGAUUAACAAACAUUUGGAGGCCCCAGCGAAAUCAAGAUCCCAAACCAAAUUCAUAGAUUCAGAAGCUGGAUCCUUCGCUCUGGCCCUCUAGGACUCAGGAGCCUAUGUGCACACUUUGGAAACAUUUCAAGACCCUGAGACUGACGAGUGAAAGGGAAACUAUUAAACUCAAUGCCCAGAAUCUGCAUCUUGUGGACAGCCUGCAUUUCCUAUCCUUGUAAUUUCUUGGCUAUUGUAAAGUCUAUACUUCCGGCUGAUGAUAAGGAAUGAAGUAGGUUGUCCAUAUUCUCGGGAACUGGACUUUCUGCAUAUCUUGGACUCCUUUUGAAGGCAAAGAUACAGAGUACAGUGUCUUCAACUUUACCCUUUGACUGUACUUUAUUAGUCUCAGUCUCUCUCUCUCUCUCUCUCUCUCUCUCUCUCUCUCUCUCUCUCUCUCUUUCUCUCUCUCCCUCUUUCUCCCUCUCCUCCUCCUCCUCCUCCUCCUCCUCCUCUCCUCCUCCUCCUCCUCCUCCUCCUCCUCCUCCUCUUCCUCCUCCUCUUCUUCUUCUUCUUCUUCUUCUUCUUCUUCUUCUUCUUCUUCUUCUUCUUCUUCUUCUUCUUCUUCUUCUUCUUCUUCUUCUUCUUCUCCUUCUCCUCCUCCUCCUCCUCCUCCUCCUCCUCCUCCUCCUCCUCCUCCUCCUUCUUCUUCUUCACCUUCUUCCCUCUUUGUUUUUCUCUGUCUCUCUUUUUUCUGUCUCUCUUUCUGUCUCUUUAUUGCUCCUCUCUCUAUUGUUCUUGGUUGCUUUCAAGACACUAGACCCUCUACAGAGGGAACAGAAAUACAUCGAAAGUAUUUUUAUUCAAUAAGGGGAAAAGUGACUUUAUUUAACAUGUUCUUCAGUAUUGCCUAGAUGACCGGUGUGGUAGUUUGAAAGAAAAUAUCUCCCAUAAGCCUACAGGGGAUGACACUAUUAGGAGAUAUGGCCUUGGAGAAGGUACAUGAUGGGGUGGGCUUUGAGAUCUCAGAAGCUCGAGUCCAUUCACUUCCUCCUGCUGCAGAUCCUGAUGUAGAGCUCUCAGCUCCUUCUCCAGCACCAGUCUGCCUGCACACUGCCUUGCUUCCCACCAUGAUGUCUUCAGAAUAACACUGUGCAGUACUGCUGUGUAGAAACUGUCUCCAAAUCGCAACACUCCCUCUUGGAGGGAGGAGAGAGGCUCUUCCCCACUCAGAGAAUACAGAAAACUUACCAAGGCUCAGGAACAACCCCGAAUCUCAGGAAGCAACUGAAAUAUAACAACAUCCCCAAGGCUCCUCUCCAAGGUUAGCUAGCCUCUGCCAAAUGCUCCUGCUGUCCUGCUCACGUGACCAGCCAUCCAUGAAGCAAGAUGCUUUCCAGGCCUCUGGCUGAGAAAGAGCUGCCCAGUGGCUUCCAGGUACCCAGGCAGCUUCCAGAAGCCUCUAGCUCCAAUUCAUCUUCGCCCAGAACUGUCUUCGCAAUCCUCCUUGUACAUAACUAUAGCAGCUGCAGUUCCAACGCUCUGUCAUCAGGUGCAGCCCACAGUUUACCAAAGAGGACAACACAGAGAAGGAAGAUUUCUAACCUCACUGACAGUUUUAUUGACUAGCCCUGUUCUAGACCUUUUCUUUCAAAGGAAACCUUGGGAGGCUUCAUGUGGAUAAUACUUAUGUAUGCGCUGCUGUUGAUUUUAUUGCGAAGGUAGCUCUUGCUGUCAUGAUGCUGCCGAGAAAUGACACCUAUAGAGUGUGACUGCAUGUUAGAAUGAGCUAGAGGCUACUUUACUGUAGUCCUCACAUCCUUUCAGGGUGGAAACCAUUUCUCAUUUUUAUGAAGCAUUUUCCCACCAGGCUAGCUUAUCAGCAUGCUCGCUAUCGUUCUCAUACCAGGCAGUUUGCAUGCGCUCGUCAUUGUAAGCCAUGGAGGAGAGUAAAACAAAGAAAACCAAGCAUUUCUGUGGAAAGUCUUUCUAUGCUUUUUUUUUUCUGUGAAAGUAGUUUGUCACUUAGACCUAUGGAAUACUGUCACCUCCUGCCAAUUCGGAUGGCAUUCCAUCUAUAUUAUCUACCAUGUCCUAGGCUUGGACAGUACUCUGGCCUUCCUGUGUAUAGUGACAGAGGCCCUCGGAGGUACCACGGGUCUAUCUGGGUGUAGCUCGACUGUUUUCUUACUUUGACUUCUCCCCAAGCAAUGGACUACAGUUGCUUAAAGAAGGGACAUUAAAGUUGUCCACCGCACUUUGGAAGACAGUUCAAAAGACACCUGGCAGUCAUCCUCCAUUUCUCAGGAAGAGGUCAGCAUCACUCCAUUCCCUGGGCCCCAGUUCACAAGAACCAAGUGUUUUUCUGGCUAUCCUUGUCCUCUUCGUCUUCAUACAGGAAUCUCUACGUCAACUUUUUGGUUCUGCAUUUUAGAACAAAGCUGAGUGGGCCCAAAUACUAAAACGGAAAAAAGGUCAAUUUAAUCCAUCGACCUAGUGAGCAAAUUAAACGGCAAAACCAUGCCACCGCCAACACAAAGAGGAGAAAGAAGUGACAGGAUUCAUUUAUGGAAGUGUCACUGCAUAUCAGGAUUGUUUUGGGUAAACUAGUCUUCUAUCACCCGACAGUUCAUAUGGAGAUUUUGAUGUUUGUCUCUCAAGAGACAAAGACAAAACAUAGAAAAAUAGGAAAAGCACAGGCUUGAUGGUAGAGAGACAUGAAUUUCAAGGUGGUAGACACUUGCUAUGUGUCUGUGUAAGCUUUUACAGGCAGGUUCCUAUGGGUGUAUAUGGGAGUUAGAACAGGUUGUCUUUCAUUUUAUAUUUUGUUUCAUAUAAGGAUCUCCGGAGAAAAGCACAAGAACCUAUCCCAAGUCAUUGAUGUGCACUUGUGCAUGACCUAGGGUUAAAGUAUGGUUAUUAUACCUUUGUUAAUGCUAAGUUCUCUGCCCAGAGAUGGUCCUGCCCACUGUUUUUAAAGAGGCAUAAUCUUAAACUGGGCAUGCUCAGAAAUGUUCCCACUUUUAUUGGUCAUAAUGAACCUUUUCCAUAUGAAUGAAAAGGAGUUACCUCUUUGAAGACCCCCUGUGCCCCUCCUCUCUUGUACACCACCUUUCCUUUCCCUUUCAUCUUUGUUUUCCCUUUCAUGAUAGUCUCACUUUCUAGCCCAGGCUAGCUCAGAGUCUACUAGUGUUGAUGCAAAAACGCAGGCCUUGUAUCUCAAACAGAAUGAGAGUUAGUUUGUUCUAGUGCUAAAUAUGAGUGAUCACAGCCAUGGAGCACACAUUCGGGUAUCUAAAAUACCAUUUUCCAGAAUGGUAGUAGUUUCAUGAAAUUUCUAUAGUUAUAAAAGAAAAGAAACUCGUAACUUAACACAGUUUUCAAAAACAUUGUUAUAAACAUUAGGCCUGUAGCAAAGUAGAAAAGGUUUCAAAUGCCAUUGACAAGAAUCUUAGCUUUGGGAUUGGUGGACACUAGGGGUCUAUUAAUACAAAAAAGGUUCCAUACAAUUGCCACAUUGAUGUCAAGUCAGACACAACGAUAGGCAAUGAAUGCUCCCCAUUAAGGGACUAAAGGCAACAUAAUUUGGUUAUAAAUCAGUACCAUUCCAACUCACCAUAACCACAGAACUUAUAAUUAGUAAGUUAGCCUUACAGAAACUUCAAAAUAGAUAUCCCUCACCCCACCCCGAGAACUUCAGUUCAUACCAUGGAAACAUGGGUAACUCUCCUGUCUCUCAGCCUCUCCAGGACUGGGUUUGCAGGCACACGCCAUGACUUGAGCCCUUUGCUUUCUGUUUGUUUGUUUGUUGUUCAGUUGAGAAGAACUUCUUUAGAAGUUAUUCCUUAUCAGCAUUUCUUGUAAAGUGUCUCAUUACUCUUCAUUUCGAGUUUUUGCUUACUGAGUUUGCACUAACCGAAGACAGAAUCCACUGUGUUUAGAUGCAGUUGUGGGCAGAUUACUUUGAUUUAUGUAAUCUGUUUUCUCAUUCAGAAACAGGACCAGAGGUACCAACCUUAACUAUGAAGAUAUUUACCCAACACAAUGAACCCCACACAAUGGGUGGUACUUCGUUAGCUUUAAGAAGCGCUGGGUUUCCUCUUUCCUUGUCUGUGCCACAGAAGAGCUGAGAUUCAAAGCCAUGACUCUCAAGUCCACAUCUUUUGGACAACUGUAAUAAGAUCUUGUCAGAGAAGUUCCCCCAUCACUGGAGCUCCCAGUCAGACUCCAACAUGACCAAUUCUUUUGUGUUGGUAGACAAUUCCCCAUUAUUUUAUGUUCCUAUCCACAGAGGUAAAUCUCUUAGGGGUUAAAAUAGAGACACAUAAACUAGGCAUGUCCCAGUGAAUUUUAUUAUGUGACUCUUCAACAAAGCUCCAUUAUAAAAACACCUCUUCUGUAAGCAAGCUUCUAGAGGAAGGCAGCAACUGACAUUUAGCUAGCUUCACGGCACUUCCCUAUUAUUGAGCUGGUCUUAACUCUAACCAGAGAACAGUGGGUUACUGCCGAAGUAUAGUUACCACUUUAUUAAAGAGCGUAUCCUAUUCUCUUUUCUUUCCCAUCUUCAUACUCUUGGUGUAGUUUAGUUCAUCAACUAAUGAUGCCUGUGGAGCACAAUAGCUACCAGCACAGCACGAUGACUCUAAGGGUAGAGUUGUGGUGCUCAUACCUUGGAGAUAACCAACAGCUCUCUAAUUGUUCUUAAGACCUACUCAGUAAGUGGGACAUCACACCCAGUACUAGAAAUCUUGCUAAGUACCCAGUGCAGGGAAGCCAUGGGUUUUGGAGAAGAAUGGGCAAUUACCACUCGACUAAACCAGCAUAAUUCCCAACUAUUUCUAAAUAUGUGUCCAUAUACCCACGAAUAAAUGGAAUCCUCACUCCUCAUCAAAGAAACUUCCCUUUGCCACAGAGACUAGUUCAGAAAACCACAACCAAUCAAAAUCCAGAGCUGUAGUGCCCAAUCCCAAGGGAUAUGUCUAUAUUGCAGUUCCUUUACCUAGGGCUCAGGGAUCAUUACAAAAGAAAGAUGGUUAGAGCAAAAGGAUUGGAGAGUUUGCUGCGAGACUGUCUCCUACUAAUAUCAGAAGCUACACUGGUAAAGUCUCACCAGCAUGACUGUCUAAACAUGAGCUCAACAAGGACAAUAACAAAAGAUACUAUAAAGUGCAUGGGGGAAAGACUGUAAGUCCUUAACCAUAAACAAAGAGCUACAGACAACUAAGGAAUAAUGAGAGCAGAAGAGACAUUUUCCCCAAGGAAGAGCACACCGACUGGUUAUCCAACACAACAGAAGUAAAAGCAUACAUACAAGUGACAUUAUAUAGACUGAGAAGGUUACAUUAGGGAAUAUUUAUGUAUAUAUAAAAAUCAUGUAACAAAGAUUAAUGUAAAAGGGAGAUGAAUUUAAAAUAUGGGGUGGUUUGGGCUACAAGAAAGGAAAGGGGUAAAGAAUGUAAUUAUGUAACAAUUUCAAAAUAUAAAUCUCAAAAUCUCAAAAAUGAAAUGAUUUUGAAAAAGCAAUUAAAUACCACAUUAUGCACACAUUUCAACAUGUCAUAAGGAAACCAAUUGUUAUGGAUAAUUAAUAUUUGUUAAUAAAACCAUGUGUCAACUGAAUAUAAAAACAAAAUUAAAUAAGUGAACAGAUAAACCAUUAAAAAAAAAAUCUCACCAGGAAUGGUGUCAUACACCUUUAGUCCCAGCACCCAGGAGGCAGAGGCAGGCAGAUCAUGGAUUACUGUGAAUUAGAGGCCGCCUGGUCUAUAUAGAGAACUCUGGAGCAGCCAGGACUACAUAGAGAGACCCUGUCUCAAAAACCAAAACCAAAACCAAAACAAAAAACUAGUGAAUUAAAAAAAAUAUGUUCCAUUUACUUAAUGUCAAAAUCCCAUCUAAGAAAAAGGUUUAAUAAUAAUAUAAUUACUCUGCUCCAGUUACUGUGGGAUUUUGCAAAGAGUCAAGGAGGGCAUGGGGAUACUGUUUUGCUGUCUUUUUUUUUUUUUAGGUUGAGUUUGCUUCUGGAAGGAAAAGAAAUGCAAACGCUCCAAACCAAAAAAAAAAAAAAAAAAAUGGAAGAAAGAAGAAAAAAAAAAAAACAACAA